UGGGGAAUUUUGGACAAUGGGGGAAACCCUGAUCCAGCCAUCCCGCGUGUGCGAUGAAGGCCUUCGGGUUGUAAAGCACUUUUGGCAGGAAAGAAACGUCGCGGGUUAAUACCCCGCGAAACUGACGGUACCUGCAGAAUAAGCACCGGCUAACUACGUGCCAGCAGCCGCGGUAAUACGUAGGGUGCAAGCGUUAAUCGGAAUUACUGGGCGUAAAGCGUGCGCAGGCGGUUCGGAAAGAAAGAUGUGAAAUCCCAGAGCUUAACUUUGGAACUGCAUUUUUAACUACCGGGCUAGAGUGUGUCAGAGGGAGGUGGAAUUCCGCGUGUAGCAGUGAAAUGCGUAGAUAUGCGGAGGAACACCGAUGGCGAAGGCAGCCUCCUGGGAUAACACUGACGCUCAUGCACGAAAGCGUGGGGAGCAAACAGGAUUAGAUACCCUGGUAGUCCACGCCCUAAACGAUGUCAACUAGCCGUUGGGGCCUUCGGGCCUUGGUAGCGCAGCUAACGCGUGAAGUUGACCGCCUGGGGAGUACGGUCGCAAGAUUAAAACUUAAAGGAAUUG
This 564-nucleotide ribosomal RNA is filed under the name uncultured bacterium. RNAcentral describes it as "partial 16S ribosomal RNA". It matches the Rfam family "Bacterial small subunit ribosomal RNA", at positions 355 to 912 of the family's 1533-position model. The record is from RNAcentral.